This 252-nucleotide ribosomal RNA is filed under the name uncultured bacterium. Its description in RNAcentral is "partial 16S ribosomal RNA". It matches the Rfam family "Bacterial small subunit ribosomal RNA", at positions 524 to 776 of the family's 1533-position model. The record is from RNAcentral.
UACGAAGGGGGCUAGCGUUGUUCGGAUUUACUGGGCGUAAAGCGCACGUAGGCGGAUCGAUCAGUCAGGGGUGAAAUCCCAGAGCUCAACUCUGGAACUGCCUUUGAUACUGUCGAUCUGGAGUAUGGAAGAGGUGAGUGGAAUUCCGAGUGUAGAGGUGAAAUUCGUAGAUAUUCGGAGGAACACCAGUGGCGAAGGCGGCUCACUGGUCCAUUACUGACGCGGAGGUGCGAAAGCGUGGGAGCAAACAGG